This 265-nucleotide unclassified non-coding RNA is filed under the name Hevea brasiliensis (rubber tree). Lineage: Eukaryota; Viridiplantae; Streptophyta; Magnoliopsida; Malpighiales; Euphorbiaceae. The record is from RNAcentral.
GGACGGUGCGGAUCCGGCCGGCGUGCGCGCGGGGCCGGUGGCGCCCCUCCCGGCCGCCUCCUCAUCAUCGUCGUCGCUUCAGGCCGCCAUCGAAGCUUCAUGGGGAGGUUGAGGGAGCCGCCGCCUUCACCGUCAACCGGGCCGCCCACCGCCCAUUGCGAGGCUGGCCGAGGUGGAUCCGCCCGCCACCGAACAGCUCAGUGCCGCGGGCUACACCCACCGCCGUCCGCGUCCGCUGCCGAGCCGCUCAGUGCUGCCAUCCGCG